Molecule: ribosomal RNA, 170 nt
Filed under: Uroconger lepturus (slender conger)
Lineage: Eukaryota; Metazoa; Chordata; Actinopteri; Anguilliformes; Congridae
Description: partial small subunit ribosomal RNA
Source: RNAcentral
AACCGCGGUUAUACGAGGGGCUCAAAUUGAUAGCUUACGGCGUAAAGAGUGAUUAAAUUUUAUACUAAAAUUAAGGCCGAAUAUCUCCUACACUGUUAUACGUUUACAGAGACAAGAAGCCCCACAACGAAAGUAGCCUUAAAUAUAUUGAACUCACGAGUAUUAAGAAA